UUAAAUUCUAUGAAGAGAAAAAGUAAAUUAUAUUUUUGUUCUAAAGAGAGUUGGUAUUUUGCUGAAAGCCAAUGUUCAAUAUAUAUUUGAAAAUCAUCUCUGAGAAGUAAAGCUGAAAUAUAGUAAGCUUUAUCGGAGUUUCACCGUUAAAAGAAAAGCGUAUUAUUAGUACGUAUUAGAGAGCUAUAAAAUAUUUAUAUAUUUUUUUAUUUUAUAGAAUUAGGGUGGUAACGCGAUUAAACCUCGUCCCUUUU
This 254-nucleotide non-coding RNA is filed under the name Clostridium fallax. Its description in RNAcentral is "T-box sequence". It matches the Rfam family "T-box leader". From Rfam's summary of the family: Uncharged tRNA acts as the effector for transcription antitermination of genes in the T-box leader family. T-boxes are found upstream of many aminoacyl-tRNA synthetase genes and some amino acid biosynthetic genes usually in Gram-positive bacteria. The anticodon of a specific tRNA base pairs to a specifier sequence within the T-box motif, and the NCCA acceptor tail of the tRNA base pairs to a conserved bulge in the T-box antiterminator hairpin. The record is from RNAcentral. Lineage: Bacteria; Bacillati; Bacillota; Clostridia; Eubacteriales; Clostridiaceae.